Molecule: ribosomal RNA, 131 nt
Filed under: Fontinalis sp. SRC-2010
Lineage: Eukaryota; Viridiplantae; Streptophyta; Bryopsida; Hypnales; Fontinalaceae
Description: partial 18S ribosomal RNA
Rfam family: Eukaryotic small subunit ribosomal RNA
Source: RNAcentral
AGUUUUCGGAUCGCGGCGACGCCGGCGGUUCGCCGCCGGUGACGUGGUGAGAAGUUCAUUAAACCUUAUCAUUUAGAGGAAGGAGAAGUCGUAACAAGGUUUCCGUAGGUGAACCUGCGGAAGGAUCAUUG